This 264-nucleotide long non-coding RNA is filed under the name Lathyrus oleraceus (garden pea). Its description in RNAcentral is "Pisum sativum (pea) long non-coding RNA (PSAT_LNC041371)". Lineage: Eukaryota; Viridiplantae; Streptophyta; Magnoliopsida; Fabales; Fabaceae. The record is from RNAcentral.
UUGAGAUAGAGGGAGUAGAAUUUUACAAUGUGUUAAAAAAAACAUAGAAUGAAGAACAAACGGAGAAUGAGAUUCGAUCUUUUAGAUUAGCAUUUUUUUAAAGGACUAAACUUAUGUACAAUUGCUUAUAUGCUGUUAGAACUGUUUUCCAUUCAUGAUAUAACAUGUGGAGUUAAUCUCCCAUUUUUGGAAAAAUAAAUGUACGACACAGUCAUGUUUUGGUAGAGGAUCUGAAUGUGACGUUAAGUUUUAGACAGAUAUCAC